UACCAGCACCCCGAGUGGUCGGGACGAUUAUUGGGCCUAAAGCAUUCGUAGCCGGUUCUACAAGUCUUCCGUUAAAUCCACCUGCUUAACAGAUGGGCUGCGGAGGAUACUAUAGAGCUAGGAGGCGGGAGAGGCAAGCGGUACUUAGUGGGUAGGGGUAAAAUCCGUUGAUCCAUUGAAGACCACCAGUGGCGAAGGCGGCUUGCCAGAACGCACUCGACGGUGAGGGAUGAAAGCUGGGGGAGCAAACCGG
Molecule: ribosomal RNA, 253 nt
Filed under: uncultured bacterium
Lineage: Bacteria
Description: partial 16S ribosomal RNA
Rfam family: Archaeal small subunit ribosomal RNA
Source: RNAcentral